AUUGAACGCUGGCGGCAUGCUUUACACAUGCAAGUCGAACGGCAGCGCGGGCUUCGGCCUGGCGGCGAGCGGCGAACGGGUGAGUAAUGCAUCGGAACGUGCCCAGUAGUGGGGGAUAGCCCGGCGAAAGCCGGAUUAAUACCGCAUACGACCUGAGGGUGAAAGCGGGGGACCGAAAGGCCUCGCGCUAUUGGAGCGGCCGAUGUCGGAUUAGCUAGUUGGUGGGGUAAAGGCUUACCAAGGCGACGAUCCGUAGCUGGUCUGAGAGGACGACCAGCCACACUGGGACUGAGACACGGCCCAGACUCCUACGGGAGGCAGCAGUGGGGAAUUUUGGACAAUGGGGGCAAGCCUGAUCCAGCCAUGCCGCGUGCGGGAAGAAGGCCUUCGGGUUGUAAAGCGCUUUUGUUCGGGAAGAAAUCCUCUGGGCUAAUACCCCGGGGGGAUGACGGUACCGGAAGAAUAAGCACCGGCUAACUACGUG
This 484-nucleotide ribosomal RNA is filed under the name uncultured bacterium. Its description in RNAcentral is "partial 16S ribosomal RNA". It matches the Rfam family "Bacterial small subunit ribosomal RNA", at positions 28 to 507 of the family's 1533-position model. The record is from RNAcentral.